AAUAAAGAUGUAUUACUUGUAUAGAAACAUAAUUGGUUGAUUCGUCUCUACCCGCUGACCGUAAAUUAGCGGACUACAAGUAAAUCUUUUU
This 91-nucleotide non-coding RNA is filed under the name Amedibacterium intestinale. RNAcentral describes it as "Purine riboswitch". It matches the Rfam family "Purine riboswitch aptamer". Rfam says of the family: Riboswitches are metabolite binding domains within certain messenger RNAs that serve as precision sensors for their corresponding targets. Allosteric rearrangement of mRNA structure is mediated by ligand binding, and this results in modulation of gene expression. The record is from RNAcentral. Lineage: Bacteria; Bacillati; Bacillota; Erysipelotrichia; Erysipelotrichales; Erysipelotrichaceae.